GUAAAACGUGGUGAUGUGGCUUGAUGGGGUUUUAGCUAGAAUCAGGAUAAGUGCGCACUUAUUAUUCUGGUUAUUCUAGGUAGAAGUCCAUCUAAGCUAAAAAUAUAAGGAUUUUUAUGCAAUCUGGCACAGGUCCGAGACCUCAUAGGAACUGGAGCCUUUUUUCGCCAUUAUAAUACAAGGAACAUACUGUGGACCCAACUUGGCGUUGAAGACUUUGCUUGCUGACGAUUGACCAAAGGUUCGCUUGAAGACCCUCUGACCAAUGUCGAAGGUUGGUAUGCUGGAAAUAUUGGCAGCUAACAUGGCGAUUCGACAAUCUUCGCGGGUGUUACGAAACAGAACGUCAAAUUUCCGUUUCUCAUCCCACGGACACGAAAGACUACGGAAGAUCCGGACCAUAUCUAAAUAGUAGUCCUGGAAUUUCUCCCUGGCACCUUGUUUCCUACUAUUAGCCUGCCGUUCGUACACGUAAUCGAUAUCAACGGGCGAUGUCGGAGUCUUCUCUCCAACUGACUACGCGGAGCAUCCAGGUUUAUGUUGCGAAUUUGAAGUUCGUGUUCAAGCUCAUCCACCGCUAAGUGGGCUGUAUUCAUCGCAUGAUACUGCGCUGCUAAAUGAGAGUGUUCCAUCGCUAC
Molecule: long non-coding RNA, 638 nt
Organism: Topomyia yanbarensis
Lineage: Eukaryota; Metazoa; Arthropoda; Insecta; Diptera; Culicidae
Exons: 4
Source: RefSeq, a predicted model, not a curated record